UAGGAGUUUUACUGCAGUCAUUGAGUCAGAUCGCCUGGCCCCAGGCUUUGCAAGUUAAGCAGGCUUAUAAAUAGGCUGGCUGUUAACACACACGACAGGAACGGAGAAUGAAUUUGGCGCUGGAGUGUUUCUUUCUGCAAUCAGAAUUCUGUGGGGGAGCUGACACUUCACAUUUAGAUUACUUCUAUGCAAAGCCUCUGGUAACAGGUGUGACCUACAGUAAGCUUGACUAAUACACACCACUGCUCUGUCCUGGCUGGCUUUAAUGGAAAAUCACCAUAAAGAUUAACGCCCAUCACAGCCCACUAGAAAUGGCAAGGCAAAAAAUGGCAUCCAAGCAUGCAGAUGUGGUCAGAACUGCAGAGGAAAUUGGCUGGACUGGGCUGUGUCAGGCUGUGUCCAAGCAGGACAAAGUGACGCAGAUGAAGGCGAUGGCAUUUGACACCUGGGAAAAAAUGUUCCUGCUCAUCUUCCAGCUGUGAUUUGAGUGAAGAGGUUCUGUAUUCAUUUAUGAGCAUAGAAAAUGGACACCGAACAUGCCUCCUCUAUAAUCUGAAGCGGCUGAUUUAACGUGAUUGAUCCUCAAUAUGGGAGUUGCCUUCAAAGAACACAGCAACAAUGAUGACAUCGCACUACAAGACCAGCCUUCAGUCUUUAUGUUGCUUCUGCCUCUCCUGAGUUUAGUAAAAGAAAGACGUUGAUAAACAAACUAAGGAGAGGAUGAGCAGGAUCACAAAAAGAGAGUUGGGACGUUUUGAUCAUUUUUAUGUCAGCAUGCUCGUGGAUAAAGACACGUCUGCGCUGCCAAGUGUCCUAGGUAAUCCCGGCUUCAUUGAGUCCUGCACUGCGAUGUUUUAAAUCACUACUCUUUUAUUCUCUUCUACCAUAAUAGCUACACUAUAAAGAGCAGCAGAGGAGAAGGAAUCAAUAAAAUCAUGCAUCUAAUAAGGGGGGCAGGAUUAAAAAUGGUUCCUCCAAAGCCUUCAGGGGAAAAUUGAGGUGAGAUUUAAGUCUUUUGACAGGUACAUCGGGGACUUUCUCUCCCAUCCCUGCCAGAGUGGACCGGGCGGUGGGCUCGGGACUUGUUUAUGGCAGGUUGGGAUUAAGAAGGUCGGAUCUACACCGCCAUUUCUCAAGGCCUCAAAAGCCCAGUAGGCUAAUUAAACAGUAACAGGCAAGACAUGGGUCUCUCUUGCGCUCACCUCCUGGCUUUGCUCUCUUCAAUUCCAGCAGUUUAAUUUUUCUAGAAAGGGGGCAACCAUGUCGGAGCACUGGGCAGGCUUCCAGCUCUGCGGUGGGAUGUUGGAGGGGUAGCGACGCAAUGGAGGAGGACCGAGCAUUGGAAUGAGGAGAAGGUUGGUCACAGGAAAGGCCAGGUCAAACCCUCUACACCCCAGCUGACAGCUAGAGUCAGACCUUCCUGCUCCAUGAGGCUGAAGGACAGAAAAGGAGGGGGAGGCGGUAAUAUCGACAAGGUGGAAGCAUUGUGACUCAUAUUGUGAUUCCUGUGCCAGUGUUGCAGUCCACCGUCACGCCGCUGGAAGGGCAGGCGGCUCGCGUCCAAGGCCCCCCCGUGGAACUUGUGUAAGAACGGCGAGGCCUGAUGUUGUUGACCUAGCCCCAGGGUGCAUGUGUCACAGCCAAGGCCAUCAAGACGGUUCCCGUCAUCGCAUUUGCACUUCAAAAAACAUUUGGCUUGCACGGCCUUGGAGCAAGGGAGUCUCAGAGGUGCUUGUGAUAGUGGAUUCACCAGCUUACAGGAAACCUCCUGAAUUAAACAGAACGAAUGGCAACUGUUGGAUCCGUCCAACCUGCACUGCUAAUCUUCCUCAUAAUACCCAUGCCUCUCGCUCAGUUAUUGUCUCACGAAUUAAAGGGAAUCUCAUUG
Molecule: long non-coding RNA, 1888 nt
Organism: Sinocyclocheilus anshuiensis
Lineage: Eukaryota; Metazoa; Chordata; Actinopteri; Cypriniformes; Cyprinidae
Exons: 5
Source: RefSeq, a predicted model, not a curated record